RNAcentral lists this non-coding RNA (74 nucleotides) under Nematostella vectensis (starlet sea anemone). Lineage: Eukaryota; Metazoa; Cnidaria; Anthozoa; Actiniaria; Edwardsiidae. The record is from RNAcentral.
UGGACCGAGGAACAGUGCCUCCUCGUGGCGAGAGUCGUGAGUAGGUUGCCUUGGCAACCGAAACAAAAUCUGUU